Kogia breviceps (pygmy sperm whale) is the source of this 5003-nucleotide non-coding RNA. The record is from RefSeq and is a predicted model, not a curated record. Lineage: Eukaryota; Metazoa; Chordata; Mammalia; Artiodactyla; Physeteridae.
AAUUAUAUUCAGUGAUUAGGGAGGUCCUCUCCAGUAAUUAAAUUCUAUGAUUUUUAUAAAAUCAUAAGCUGAAAAUAAUGAUUUAAAGCUUAACUUUUGUCCACUUAAGGGUUCCUUAUAUUAUCAACUUGUUUUUUGAGUUUCUGUACUAGGUAGCUAUUAUUCUCUAAGAGAUUAAAACCUAAAAUUAAGUCUAACAGUUUAGAAUUUAGCAUACUUACUUUAAAAAAUAUUUUUCCUACUUCCAUAGUUAAUAAAUUCACAGUCAGUGACAAAAGCAAAAAACAACAACAGCAAAACUUGGAAAACCUGUGCAAAAAGUGCAAAAGAAAAAGAAAAUUACCUGUAAUUCUUUACCCAAGGAUGGCUAUUGGUAACAUAUUUUUUCAACAGACGUUUUUUUUUUUUUAGUAGUUUUAGGUUCACGGCAAAAUUGAGCAGAAAGUACAGCAUUCCCAUGUACCCACUGCCCCUACACAUGCACAGCCCACCCCACUAUCAACAAUGUCCACCAAAGUGGUACAUUUGUUGUGUCAAUGUGGACGAACCCACAUUGACACAACAUACUCACUCCAAGUCCAUAAGCUACACUAGGGUUCACGCUUGGUGGUGUACGUUCUGUGAGUUUUAACAAACGCAUGAUAGCAUGUACCCAACAUUAAACCGUCAUAAGAAUGGUUUCCUGCCCUAAAAAUCCUCUGUGUUCCACCUAUGGAACUCUGUCCCUGUAACUUGUGCCAAUCCCUGACCUUUAGUGCAAAGGUCUAUACUUUUAUAUUUUCCAAAAUGUCAUAUAGUUGGAAUCAUACUGAUUCCAAAGGCUGAGUAAACAGCCUUUUCAGAUUGACUUUCUCCACUAAGCAGUAAGCAUUUAACAUUCCUCCAUGGCUUUUCUGGCUUGACAGCUCAUUGCUCUGUAGCACUGAGUAACGUUCCAUUGUCUGGAUGCACCCGUUUCUUUAUCCAUUCACCCACAGGAGGGCAUCUUGGUUGCUUCCAAGUUUUUGGCAGUUAUGAAUAAAGCUCCUGUAAACAUCCAUGUUCAGGUUUUUGUGUGGACAUAUUUUCAACUCAUUUGGAUAAAUACCGUGGAUCAAAGUGAACUUUUGCAUUUCCACUGGUAAUGAUGAGAGCUCCUGGUGUCCACGUCUUCAUCAGAAUUUGGUGCUGUCAGUGUUUUGCAGUCUCACCACUUAAUAGGUGUGUACUGGUCUCUCCUUGCUAUUUUACAUUAUUAGCAUUUUGAUGUAUCAAUAUUUUUCCACAGAAUGUUUUCAAAUAUUUAUAUCACUGAUAAAAAAUGUCUUGUUAGAAGAGAAGAAGAGAUUCAGUAAAAAAACUGGUGAUAUCUAGAAGAAUAAAAUCAUCAUUGAGGACUUCCCUAGUGGCGCAGUGGUUAAGAAUCCGCCUGCCAAUGCAGGCGACACAGGUUCGAGCCCUGAUCCGGGAAGAUCCCACAUGCCACGGAGCAACUAAGCCCGUGUGCCACAACUACUGAGCCUGCACUCUAGAGCCCGUGAGCCACAACUACUGAACCCACAUGCCACAACUACUGAAGCCUGCAUGCCUAGAGCCCAUGCUCCGCCACAAGAGAAGCCACCGCAAUGAGAAGCCCCUGCACCACAACUACAGAAAGCCCACAAACAGCAACGAAGACCCAAGGUACCCAAAAAUAAAAAUAAAUUAAUUAAGAAAAAAAAAACCUGUUUAAAAAAAAAUCGCCAUUGAGAAUAGGAUCGUCAUCUCUGUUUUGUUGUUGUCAGAUAGGUAAAAAGAUUUUAAGAUGAGAUGCAUACGGUGGAGACUAAUAUGUAGCUACAGAAGACUUGUGCUUUGGCUUCCCUCUAACCCUAAAACAGAAAUCAUGUCCAAGGAUCUAUCCGUGGAAAAGCGGGACUCGGAAUGACUGCAUACUCAUGACAGGUAGAGAAAUUUAAAAAAAAAAAAAAAGACAUGCUUAUCUUUUAUGUGUGAUGUGAUAUAAAACAGUUUGUGGGAAAUGCUUUUGAGACACCAUAUCUAUGUCGAUAAGAAACUAAUUUUGAACUCAAUUGUCAUUUUUUUAAAUGUCAUAAAGAAAUAAGAAUUGUAAUCAGGAUUAGAGUCAUCAAGCAUGAUAAGACAGAAGAGUUUUAUCAGCUAAUGCUUAGUGGUACUGUAUAGCACAGGAACUAUAUUCAAUAUCUUGUGAUAAACCGUAAUGGAAAAGAAUAUGAAAAAGAAUAAAUAUAUGUGUAACUGAGUCACUUUGCUGUACAACAAAAAUUAACAUUGUAAAUAAACUAUACUUCAAUAAAAUGAAAAAAAAACCCUAACGCUUAGUGGUAGUACCAAAAAUUAGUCAUUGUUACUAGCAUUGUGUGGAACUUUUAAGAUUUUUAAAAAUUAAUUUACUUAUUUAUUAUUUGGUUGUCCUGGGUCUUAGUUGUGGCACGUGGGCUCCUUAGUUGUGGCAUGAGAACUCUUAGUUGCGGCAUGUGUGUGGGAUCUAGUUCCCUGACCAGUGAUUGAACCUGAUCCCCCUGCAUUGGGAGUGUGGACUCUUAUUAUCCACUGAGCCAUGAGGGAAGUCCCUCAGAUCUUUGAUGUUCAUUCAUUCCACAAAUGUUAACUGAGUUGUGCCAGAUAUUAUGAUAAGUGCAAGGGAUAGAACAGUGAAUAAGACAGAUAUAAUCCCUAGCCUCAUAGAGAGUAUAGUCUACGCUCGAUUAGAAAGAUCUGACAAACACUAAAAUGAACGAAAAUGAAUAUGAUAAAAUAAUUACAGUUGAGUGCUAGGAAGGAAUUAAGCAGAGCUUCUUAAUAGGGAAUAUCAGUGGAGACCUGUGCUACUGAUCAUGGGAGACCUUUCUGAGCAAGUAACAUUUAAAUUGAGAUCUGCCCUAGGAGCAUCCAUCAGAAUAACAAGGGGAAUAUUGUUCUAGACUGCCAGCAAAGCAAGAAUUAAACCCAUGCUAAGAAGUGGAGAUGAACAGGGUGGAGCGUAGUGGACCAAGGGAAGCAGUGACACCUCCUGAGCAGGCAGUGCCCAGCAAGAGCAGUUCAAGGAGGGUUUUGUAGGCCGCGCUGAGAAGUCUGAAUUUUCUUUUCGUGCCUGGAGAAGCCAUAAAGAGGGUUUUUAAGUGAAAAAGUGAUACAGUGGGAUGUGAAUGUUAAGCAGAUAGCCCUGGCCACUUUGUGGAGGACGGCUCGAGGGCAGCAAGAGCAGAACUGCGGGAGCUGAUCCGUGGUCUGGGCAAGAACUGAUGCUGCUGGCCUCAGCAGGGAGGUAGAGCGGUCAGUAGGUUGCACUGAGAUAGAAGGAUGCAGGGUACAAAUGCACACUGAAAGUCACUUCUAAGACUUAGGAGGGGUUUCCCUGGCGGUCCAGCGGUUAGGACUCCAGGCUGCCACUGCUGAUCCUACAAGCCAUGCUGCGUGGCCAACAAAAUUAAAAAAAAAAAAAAAAGACUUAGUAGCUAGUUUAAAGUUUAGAUGCAAAGACUCUCUGAUAUUAAAGUGUAGCAAAUCUGAUCAAUUUUGUUCAAGAAAAGAUGAGGAGAUUCACACACACAAAAAGCUAUCUAUCAAGAAGAGCAGCUGAUAGGAGAAUAAGAAAGUAAUCCUAAUUUGAAUUGACUGGAUUUUUGAAAGAAAUAUAGUCCAAACUUUUGUAAGUAAAACGUUAUUGAGCGUUCUACUUAUGAGUGCUUUUUACUUUCUCCACAAACUUGGAAAAACAGCAGUUAGGAAUACAUUAAUGCUUCUGAAUACAAAUUAAUGACUGUUAUUUGUAACUAAUUUCAAAGCUGUCCAAGUUCUGUUUUUCUAAUUUAAUUAUUUUCAUAUAAUACCAUAAUAGUUCUUUAUAAUAUUAGAAACAACCUUGAAGCGUUUUUUCUUUCAUUUUGUUCUUGUUUUAUGUGUUUUUCACUUAACCGAGCUGCCCUGGAGUCGCCCAGCUGCCCAGGUUAUCUAUCUAUCUAUCUAUCUAUCUAUCUAUCUAUCUAUCUAUCUAUCUAUCUAUCUAUCGUCGCCCACUGCCCAGGUGUAUAUACAGGAUCACCCAGCCGCCCAGGUAUCUAUCUACGUAUCUGUCUAUCUAUCGUUGCCCAGCUGCCCAGGUGUCCCGGAAAAAGACCUGGGGCGGCGGCACCCAACGGGCGCGGUGCGGCUCUUUGGGUGGCCAGUGGGGCAGGGCUCCCAGUCCCACCCAGGGACACACGGGCCCCCGUCGGCAAGGCGCAGCCCCCGCCGCAGCCCCCGCCGGACGUCGUCCCGCCGGCGGAGGAGGGUGCCGAGGGGCAGCCAGCGGACGCCAUGUGAGAAGCGGGACGCAGGCUGCGCAGCCCGAGGGCAGAGCGGCGCCCGCGGUGCAGGUGCGGGACCGCGAAGCCGCGGACGAGGCCGGUCCCGGGGAGCUCGCGUCCCGCAGCCUGCGUCCCGGGCGCGGACCGGCUGCGGCGGCGGGGCCCGAGGGAUCACUGGGAGCAAUGAUCCCCCUCCUGGGUGUCUCGCAGGCCUCCCACGCCACCCAUCGUGGACCACAGGACCCUCUGUCCCCUGCUGACACCUGUCCCUUCUUCCCGGCUUGGUGGCCAUGGUGGAUCCCCUCUGCCCUGGAUGCUGUGAGUUUAAUGCUGGUCGGGGAAGCAGAGGACGUGAGGGACAGAAGCAGGGUCCUGGGGUCAGCUUUCUUUCGUCCUGGUCUUAUGGGCCUGAACAGCACCCCAUCUGUGAGAGCUCGAGGCACCUACAGAGCCGCGGGCUCUACCCCCUGGCCACUGGGUCGUGCGCUGCAUGGUCCUUGGCGCCAUCUUCCCUGUGGCCAAGCAGCUUCUCUGACCACAACGACGUGAAGCUGGAAGUCAACCACAGAAAAAGAAAUGAGGAAAAAAUCGUUACCUGGAGACUAAACAACAUGCGACCAAAAAUAACCAGUGGGUCAACGAGGAAAUCAAAAAGGGAAUUAAAAAAUACCUCAAGUGAGAGUUUCUAUAAAACUCUACUUUUUAUACAUUAUU